RNAcentral lists this ribosomal RNA (1093 nucleotides) under Vibrio sp. 771M. RNAcentral's name for it is "bacterial SSU rRNA". It matches the Rfam family "Bacterial small subunit ribosomal RNA", at positions 376 to 1462 of the family's 1533-position model. Lineage: Bacteria; Pseudomonadati; Pseudomonadota; Gammaproteobacteria; Vibrionales; Vibrionaceae. The record is from RNAcentral.
CGCAGCCUGAGCAGCCAUGCCGCGUGUGUGAAGAAGGCCUUCGGGUUGUAAAGCACUUUCAGUCGUGAGGAAGGUGGUGUAGUUAAUAGCUGCAUUAUUUGACGUUAGCGACAGAAGAAGCACCGGCUAACUCCGUGCCAGCAGCCGCGGUAAUACGGAGGGUGCGAGCGUUAAUCGGAAUUACUGGGCGUAAAGCGCAUGCAGGUGGUUUGUUAAGUCAGAUGUGAAAGCCCGGGGCUCAACCUCGGAAUAGCAUUUGAAACUGGCAGACUAGAGUACUGUAGAGGGGGGUAGAAUUUCAGGUGUAGCGGUGAAAUGCGUAGAGAUCUGAAGGAAUACCGGUGGCGAAGGCGGCCCCCUGGACAGAUACUGACACUCAGAUGCGAAAGCGUGGGGAGCAAACAGGAUUAGAUACCCUGGUAGUCCACGCCGUAAACGAUGUCUACUUGGAGGUUGUGGCCUUGAGCCGUGGCUUUCGGAGCUAACGCGUUAAGUAGACCGCCUGGGGAGUACGGUCGCAAGAUUAAAACUCAAAUGAAUUGACGGGGGCCCGCACAAGCGGUGGAGCAUGUGGUUUAAUUCGAUGCAACGCGAAGAACCUUACCUACUCUUGACAUCCAGAGAACUUUCCAGAGAUGGAUUGGUGCCUUCGGGAACUCUGAGACAGGUGCUGCAUGGCUGUCGUCAGCUCGUGUUGUGAAAUGUUGGGUUAAGUCCCGCAACGAGCGCAACCCUUAUCCUUGUUUGCCAGCGAGUAAUGUCGGGAACUCCAGGGAGACUGCCGGUGAUAAACCGGAGGAAGGUGGGGACGACGUCAAGUCAUCAUGGCCCUUACGAGUAGGGCUACACACGUGCUACAAUGGCGCAUACAGAGGGCGGCCAACUUGCGAAAGUGAGCGAAUCCCAAAAAGUGCGUCGUAGUCCGGAUUGGAGUCUGCAACUCGACUCCAUGAAGUCGGAAUCGCUAGUAAUCGUGGAUCAGAAUGCCACGGUGAAUACGUUCCCGGGCCUUGUACACACCGCCCGUCACACCAUGGGGAGUGGCUGCAAAAGAAGUAGGUAGUUUAACCUUCCGGGGGGACGCUUACCACUU